RNAcentral lists this long non-coding RNA (360 nucleotides) under Cavia porcellus (domestic guinea pig). Its description in RNAcentral is "lncRNA (ENSCPOG00000033056.1)". The record is from RNAcentral. Lineage: Eukaryota; Metazoa; Chordata; Mammalia; Rodentia; Caviidae.
GCUAUCUUUUUUUCUCUCCUCCUCCUUAAACUCCAAACCUCAGCCGAUAUUCUCGAUUCCCACACUUCAGUGCUGGCUGGAGAGAGCACUGGACCGUGGAGCGUGGAGCGGCAGAAGCCUCAGUCCUGGAUCAUUAGAGUUGCGGGCCACGGCUUGUGGGAUCUAGUGAUUUGGACAUAUUUUAUUUAACCAGCUUAGUAAAAGGCCAGGGCUUUGGACAGCACUCCGAUGCACGGUGGGCCUUCCUGAUCGGAAUCUGUUCUUUGCACUCCGCGGACCUCUCCUCUUCCCCGCCCCACACCUUCUGCCAUUCCAGCAGUGGGGUAUCCAGGGACCACUUGGUGAUGGAGGGCUCCAGAU